This 306-nucleotide unclassified non-coding RNA is filed under the name plant metagenome. RNAcentral describes it as "partial contains 5.8S ribosomal RNA, internal transcribed spacer 2, and large subunit ribosomal RNA". The stretch from base 1 to 105 matches the Rfam family "5.8S ribosomal RNA", at positions 50 to 154 of the family's 154-position model. The record is from RNAcentral.
GAAAUGCGAUAAGUAGUGUGAAUUGCAGAAUUCAGUGAAUCAUCGAAUCUUUGAACGCACAUUGCGCCCCUUGGUAUUCCAUGGGGCAUGCCUGUUCGAGCGUCAUCUACACCCUCAAGCUCUGCUUGGUGUUGGGCGUCUUUGUCCCGCCUCCGCGCGCGGACUCGCCCCAAAUUCAUUGGCAGCGGUCCUUGCCUCCUCUCGCGCAGCACAUUGCGCUUCUCGAGGUGUGGCGGCCCGCGUCCAGAAAGCAAUCGUUACCGUCUUUGACCUCGGAUCAGGUAGGGAUACCCGCUGAACUUAAGC